This 253-nucleotide ribosomal RNA is filed under the name uncultured bacterium. RNAcentral describes it as "partial 16S ribosomal RNA". It matches the Rfam family "Bacterial small subunit ribosomal RNA", at positions 524 to 776 of the family's 1533-position model. The record is from RNAcentral.
CACGUAGGGCGCAAGCGUUGUCCGGAAUUAUUGGGCGUAAAGAGCUCGUAGGCGGUCUGUUGCGUCCGCUGUGAAAACUCGGGGCUUAACCCCGAGCCUGCAGUGGAUACGGGCAGACUAGAGGUAGGUAGGGGAGAAUGGAAUUCCCGGUGUAGCGGUGAAAUGCGCAGAUAUCGGGAGGAACACCGAUGGCGAAGGCAGCCCCCUGGGCUAACACUGACGCUCAGGCACGAAAGCGUGGGGAGCAAACAGG